UUGACCUCGGAUCAGGUAGGAAUACCCGCUGAACUUAAGCAUAUCAANGGGGAA
RNAcentral lists this ribosomal RNA (54 nucleotides) under Neopestalotiopsis clavispora. RNAcentral's name for it is "partial 28S ribosomal RNA". The record is from RNAcentral. Lineage: Eukaryota; Fungi; Ascomycota; Sordariomycetes; Amphisphaeriales; Sporocadaceae.